RNAcentral lists this ribosomal RNA (253 nucleotides) under uncultured bacterium. RNAcentral describes it as "partial 16S ribosomal RNA". It matches the Rfam family "Bacterial small subunit ribosomal RNA", at positions 524 to 776 of the family's 1533-position model. The record is from RNAcentral.
GACGUAGGGCGCGAGCGUUGUCCGGAUUUAUUGGGCGUAAAGAGCUCGUAGGCGGCUUGUCGCGUCGACUGUGAAAACCCGAGGCUCAACUUCGGGCUUGCAGUCGAUACGGGCAGGCUAGAGUUCGGUAGGGGAGACUGGAAUUCCUGGUGUAGCGGUGAAAUGCGCAGAUAUCAGGAGGAACACCGAUGGCGAAGGCAGGUCUCUGGGCCGAUACUGACGCUGAGGAGCGAAAGCAUGGGGAGCGAACAGG